UGUUCAUAUUCGUGUAAAUAACAAAAUACACCUUUUAAAUCAUGACUUCUAAGAUCCUCUUUUGUGAAGUUUUAUAAGGUUACCUUUCAGUAUUGAAUAACUCCAGAAAUUUUCCAAUUACCAAAAGCAGUUAGGUAAUGUUGAACCGGUAUGGCCCAGCCCAUACAAGUUAUCUCUUAGGGCCCAGGCCCAUGUAGUGGGACUGACCUAAAAAGGAUGCUCCCAGCCAUCCCGUUCCUAAGCCAGCCGCCACACAAAAAACACAGCUGCUGGAGGUACUCCUCUCUCCCUCCCGUACUCCUCUCUCCCUCCCGUUUCUACAUGGUAUCAGAGGCCAGGUCCGGCAAGGCCUGACGGACGGCGGCGCCGGCCGGCGUGGCUGCGGGGUCCGGUGGGGAUCGACGGCGGCCCUGCGCGCUGGAGAGGAGGCGGCUGCGCGCGGGCUGUGUGCGCGCGCGAGGAGGAGAAGCGGCUGCGCGGGCGACAGGGCGACGGCUGGUGCUGGUUCCUUCCUGCCCCGGCUCUCUUAUCUCUCUCUGUUCUGCUGUGUUUCUGGAGGUGGAAGGGAGAAGGAGAGAGGAGGAAGCGAAAGAAGGGCAGCUGCUGGAGUCUGGAGGUUGCGGCUGCUGCUGUUUGCCCGAGAAGGAGGUUGCAGCUGGUGGUGGUGGUGUGCACUACAGGGGAGACCGGGAGCUGGGUGCUGCUGCUAGAGGAGAAGGUGCUGGUGGUGGUCUGUUCCUGGAGCUGCUGCUGUGCUGUUAGUGGAGCUAUUGUUGUGCUGUUCCUGCUGCUGUGCAUCUGAGUUGCUGUUUUUGCUGCUGUGUGUUGGUUCUGCUGUGGAGAAGAAGUGAGGCUGUGGUGCUGCUGGAACACCAAAGAUGGCUGAACCAAAUGCUCUCGCUGCUGCUUUCGAGAAGCUCGCUAAGAUCCUCGCGGAGUCCAACUCCAACUCUGGGGCCAUCGUUCCUCGACAGGAAGUGGCUCAGAAGCUCGAAAUGUCACCCCUGGACAUGAAGCUAGAGGGGGCCACAAAUUAUUUGAGCUGGUCCAGAAGGGCAUUGCUGGCUGUGGAACAGAAGGAACUUGAUGGGCACUUAUUGGGUGCGGUUGAUGAACCCGGAGACAAGACUACCGCGGAGGGAAAGCGGUGGAAGGUCAUAAACUCUGUGCUUGUUGGCUGGUUGUUGAACUCAGUGGUGCCCUCCAUUGGUCGCUCUGUGGAGGGACUAUCCAUGUCCGCCGAGUUAUGGAAGACUCUAUCCACCCAAUACUCAGGCAAGGGUAAAUUUCAUGCUAAUUGCUCAGAUUGAGGGGAAGAUCAGUCGGCUGCGCCAAGGCGAUGACAUGUCAGUGAUGGCAUAUGUAGCAGAGCUGCAGGCUUUGCGGGCAGAGCAGGAUAACUGUGAUCCUCUGGAACUCUAUGAUGCGGCGUGCAUCGAGUCAGGGCGCAAGUGGAUUGCACGCAGGCGUGUGCUGAAACUGUUGGAAGGCCUCAGAGGUUGCUUUCAUGGCAGGGGGCUUCCCUAUUGCGCCAACCUCUCUUGCCAACUAUUGAGGACACUAUUGCAGCAAUGUCUCAAGAGGAGGUGAGGCUAUCUCUUGAGCAUGCAAACGUGAAGUUUGUGCCGGCUUCGACAUUUGCAGUCACUGAGCGCAUGGAGUGGGGAGAUCCCAACACAUGUCAUAUUUGUGGGGAGGUAGGUCAUUGGAAGAGGGAAUGUCCAACUCGUGGUAGAGGCAGGGGAUACAACAGAGGGGGCACUGGCAGAGGCAGGUAUGCUCGAGGCAGAGGUGGAUACCCAUGGAACUCAGGGGGUCAACUUUCUAGGGGCAGAGGUGGCUACUCAGGAAACUCAGGGGGCAGGGCGCAUAUGGUAGUUGAAGAGGACACUGGGACGUCACAUGGCAAGGGAGUUGAUGAGGCUGCCUAUGGAGACUUUGCUCACUUGGCCUCCACUGAUGAAGGUAAUUCGAUGAAGGCAUUUCUUACUCCUAAUGAGAGUGCUUCAUAGUGGGUCUUAGACUCUGGAGCAUCUAAGCAUGUUGCGGGUAAUUUCUGUGUGUUUGAGUCUUACCAUAAGCAUGCUCCUACUCACAAGGGCACUAUACAAACUGCCGAUGGUACCAAUCAGCCUGUCGUAGGGGUUGGCACAGUCAAAUGCACUUCAGCCAUCUCCUUAUCGUCAGUUUUGCAUGUGCCAGCUUUUCCUGUCAAUUUGGUCUCUUUCAGUGCUCUCAUUGAUCAAAUAGACUGUCGUGUGAUCCUUGACAAGUUCGGUUGCUUGAUUCAGGAGCGACAGACGAGCCAGACGGUUGGGAUUGGCACCAGGCGUAGGGGGCUCUGGUACAUGGACCAGGAGGUGCAACCGGACUUGAUGUGUGCUGCGACCAUGGAGGACAAGGAGAAGCAGGCGAUGAUCCAUCAUUGUAGAAUGGGUCAUGUAUCUUUUGAUAAGAUGAGUAGAAUCUUUCCGGAUGUUAUGUGUGGAAUAGGCAAGGGCAAGUUGACAUGUGAUGCUUGCGAAUAUGCAAAACACACACGAGCCUCAUAUGUGAGUAAGGGGCUUAGGAGCAUAUCUCCUUUUAUGCUCAUUCAUUCAGAUGUAUGGACUAGCCCAGUAGUGUCAAUGAAUGGAAAGAAGUAUUUUGUUACCUUCAUUGACUGCUAUUCUCGUAUGACUUGGAUUUACUUGAUGCGUCACAAGGAUGAGGUGUUUAGCUGUUUUCAGAACUUCCAUGCUCUUGUAAAGAACCAGUUUCAGGUGCAGGUCAACGUGCUCAGGACUGACAAUGGUACAGAGUAUGUGAACAAUAUUUUUGGGGAUUUCAUGGCUAACCAAGGAAUUCUUCAUCAAACUUCAUGUCCGGACACCCCACCUCAGAAUGGAGUGGCCGGAAGGAAGAAUCGUCAUAUUCUUGAGGUUGCUCGGUCAUUAAUGUUUACCAUGAAUGUGCCUAAGUUCUUAUGGGAUGAAGCAGUUAUGACAACCACGUACCUGAUCAACCGGACACCUUCCAGGAUAUUAGGUAUGAAAUCUCCGUCAGAGUUGCUCAUUGGAGAUAAUAAGUUUGUUGUUUCCCCAAAGUUGUUUGGCAGUACUUGCUUUGUUUGUGAUCACCGACCAUCUGUUGGAAAGCUUGAUCCUCGGGCAGUGAAGUGUGUCGUCCUGGGAUACUCUUCUAGCCAGCAGGGGUAUAAAUGUUGGUCUCCCUCUGAAAAACGCAGGUUCGUGAGUAUGGAUGUUACCUUCAGGGAGUCCGAGCCAUUCUUUGGUACGCCGACUGAUCUCAGUCUGCUAUUUGCAGAGCUUGACCACCUACAUCAUGUGCACGAUGGUCAAGAGGGGGAGAAGGAUGUGUCUCAUACUCAGGGUGAUUCUGUGGGCAAUAACACUGCUAAUGAUGUGCAACUUCAGGUCCAACCAAUAGUGGGAACAAUUCCGGUUAGUACUCUCACUGAUGAUGAUGUGCAGGUUCCUGUUGAGCCAACCAUCGAUACACUUAAGAUUGGUGCUCUUCGGGUUCCUGUUCGGGAUCGAUGGCAGACGAACACCCUAGUGUACUCUCGACGGCAACCACACGUGCAAGGGGAGCAGCAAGGCAGUGAGGCAAGAGUGCAGGGGGAGCAACAAGGAAAUGAGGCAAGAGUGCAAGGGGAGCAGCAAGGCAAUGAGGCAAGAGUGCAGGGGGAGCAGCAAGAUAGUGAGACGAGCUCAUCUGACACAGUGGAGUUGCCCAUUGCAUUGCGAAAGGCUACACGUGAAGCAGCAAGAAAGGGUGAAGUAGCAAGAAAGGCUCUAUCGAAGGAUGAUGCUUGUGAUGAUCUUGAUAUUGGCAAUUUUGUGUCUUAUAAGGCUUUGUCACCCACAUAUAAGGCGUUUGUUGCCUCCCUUCAAACUGUGUCAAUUCCAAAUGAUUGGAAGGCUGCAAAGCAAGAUCCGAGGUGGCGUGAAGCGAUGAUGGAAGAGUUGGAAGCACUAAGGAAAAACAAGACAUGGGUGCUAACCACAUUGCCGGCAGAAAAGAAAGCAGUGAGUUGUAAGUGGAUCUAUACAGUGAAGCAGAAUCCUGAAGGGAAGGUGGAACGGUAUAAGGCCAGAUUGGUCGCCAGAGGAUAUAGUCAAACUUAUGGAAUUGACUAUGAUGAGACGUUUGCUCCCGUGGCAAAGAUGAACACAGUAAGGAUAUUGGUCUCCUGUGCUGCAAACUUUGGGUGGAAGUUGCAUCAAUUAGAUGUCAAGAAUGCCUUCUUGCAUGGUGAGUUGCAAGAAGAAGUGUACAUGGAAAUACCACCAGGUUUUGGUACUUCAGAGACUACGGGGAAGGUAUGCAGGCGGAAGAAAUCCUUGUAUGGACUGAAGCAAUCACCAAGGGCCUGGUUUGAUAGGUUCAGACGUGCUGUCCGUGGUAUGGGGUAUGGUCAGUGUAACGAUGACCACACGAUGUUCUACAAGCACUCUGAUCGGAAGAUCAUCAUUCUUGUUGUUUAUGUGGAUGACAUUAUCAUCACUGGAGAUGAUGAGGAGGAAAUAGAGAGAUUGAAGGGUUGUUUGAGCAAGGAGUUUGAGGUAAAGGAUUUGGGUAACCUAAAAUACUUUCUUGGCACUGAAGUGGCUCGGACAGAGAAGGGAAUCUCUUUGUGCCAACGAAAAUACACCUUGGAUCUCUUGAGUGACGUGGGCAUGAUGGGAUGUCGUACUGCCCCUACUCCGAUUGAACAAAAUCACCAAGUGACAGCACAAUCAGGAGAGCUAGUGAAUAAGGAAGAGUAUCAGAAAUUUGUUGGAAGGUUGUUGUACUUGUGUCAUACUAGGCUAUGCUAAGGGGGUGGUGAGCAGAUACAUGCAUGAACCAAGGAGUGGGCAUCUUGAUAUUGUGCACAGAAUCCUGAGAUACUUGAAGGGGACUCCGGGUAAAGGGUUGUGGUUUGGGAAGAGUGGACAUCUUGAGGUGGAUGGCUAUAGUGACUCUGACUGGGCCAGUUAUUAAGAUGAUAGAAGAUCAACUUCUGGUUACUGCGUGUUUGUGGGAGGAAAUUUGGUAUCAUGGAGAAGCAAGAAACAGCCGGUUGUGUCUAGAUCAACAGCAGAAGCUGAGUAUAGAGCAUUAUCUCAAGGGUUGUGUGAGAUGCUCUGGGUGAAGUACCUACUGAGCGAGUCGAAACUUCUGAGGAAGGGGUCCUUGAAGGUGUGGUGUGACAAUCAGUCAGCUAUAGCCAUCGCUAAUAACCCAGUUCAACAUGAUAGGACAAAGCAUGUGGAAAUUGAUCGGUUCUUCAUUAAGGAGAAGCUUGAUGCCGGGGUCAUCAGCCUUACUCAUGUCAGUUCUGGGCAGCAGUUUGCAGAUUGUUUGACAAAGGGUCUGGGAACAAAGGAUUGUAACUUGGCAUGUCACAAGAUGGGAAUGAUAGAUAUCUACCACCCAUCUUGAGGGGGAGUGUUGAACCGGUAUGGCCCACGCCCAUACAAGUUACCUCUUAGGGCCCAGGCCCAUGUAGUGGGACUGACCUAAAAAGGAUGCUCCCAGCCAUCCCGUUCCUAAGCCAGCCGCCACACAAAAAACACAGCUGCUGGAGGUACUCCUCUCUCCCUCCCGUAC
This 5598-nucleotide long non-coding RNA is filed under the name Hordeum vulgare. Its description in RNAcentral is "long non-coding RNA (HVUL_LNC000640)". Lineage: Eukaryota; Viridiplantae; Streptophyta; Magnoliopsida; Poales; Poaceae. The record is from RNAcentral.